RNAcentral lists this ribosomal RNA (440 nucleotides) under uncultured bacterium. RNAcentral's name for it is "bacterial SSU rRNA". It matches the Rfam family "Bacterial small subunit ribosomal RNA", at positions 338 to 768 of the family's 1533-position model. The record is from RNAcentral.
CCUACGGGAGGCAGCAGUGGGGAAUUUUGGGCAAUGGCCGAAAGGCUGACCCAGCGACGCCGCGUGCGGGAGGACGCCCUUCGGGGUGUAAACCGCUGUCAGGGGGGAAGAAACCCGGGGAUUUGAAUAGAGUCUCCGGCUGACGGUACCUCCAAAGGAAGCGCCGGCUAACUCCGUGCCAGCAGCCGCGGUAAGACGGAGGGCGCAAGCGUUGUUCGGAAUCACUGGGCGUAAAGCGCGCGCAGGCGGACUCAGUAAGUCGGAAGUGAAAUUCCGGGGCUCAACUCCGGAACUGCUUCCGAGACUGCGAGUCUGGGGACCGGUAGAGGCGGGUGGAAUUCCCGGUGUAGCGGUGGAAUGCGUAGAGAUCGGGAAGAACACCGGUGGCGAAGGCGGCCCGCUGGGCCGGAUCCGACGCUGAGGCGCGAAAGCGUGGGGAG